GUAUGAGUCGUUAGCCCACGGUAGCUCAAGGGUAGAGCCCUGUAUGUGGGAGCGAAAGCGCCUAGCAAUAACUGCGAGGAGGUCGCAGGUUCGAAUCCUGCCCGGUGGGU
This is a non-coding RNA of Meloidogyne enterolobii, 110 nucleotides long. NCBI's taxonomy places the organism in Eukaryota, Metazoa, Nematoda, Chromadorea, Rhabditida, Meloidogynidae. The record is from the annotation of a GenBank genome assembly.